GAGUCUGGCAGCUGGAUUGGGGUGAAGGGCAGGGGCAUGGUUUGCUCUUACUGCCCCCUCCUCUCCCCAUCCUGGCACUCUUUCUCUGGAGUAGAUGCAGGAGGAGAGAGAGGAGGACAGGUUUUCUUCACAUCCUGAUUGCAGUUGAUUCUUUCCUGGCCAGCACUGCCAAGCCACCAGCUACAGCCAGUUGACAUUUCAGAGCGACAAGAAAACUCCAACCAGGCACCCUAUUACACUGGAACAUCCUUUUGUAAAGGGGUCCUCAGGGGCCAUUUAUGAAGAAGCCAGGACAUCAUCCCAGGCCUCCCGAGUCAAGGCACG
RNAcentral lists this long non-coding RNA (324 nucleotides) under Homo sapiens (human). RNAcentral describes it as "non-protein coding lnc-ANKRD34C-1:1". The record is from RNAcentral. Lineage: Eukaryota; Metazoa; Chordata; Mammalia; Primates; Hominidae.